This 440-nucleotide ribosomal RNA is filed under the name uncultured bacterium. RNAcentral's name for it is "partial 16S ribosomal RNA". It matches the Rfam family "Bacterial small subunit ribosomal RNA", at positions 338 to 795 of the family's 1533-position model. The record is from RNAcentral.
CCUACGGGAGGCAGCAGUGGGGGAUAUUGCACAAUGGGGGAAACCCUGAUGCAGCGACGCCGCGUGAGUGAAGAAGUAUUUCGGUAUGUAAAGCUCUAUCAGCAGGGAAGAAAAUGACAGUACGUGACCACGAAGCCCCGGAUAACUACGUGCCAGCAGCCGCGGCAAUACGUAGGGGGCAAGCGUUAUCCGGAUUUACUGGGUGUAAAGGGGGCGUAGACGGUUAUGUAGGUCUGGAGUGAAAGCCCGGGGGCCAACCCCGGGACCGCUUUGGAAACUGUGUCACGGGAGUACAGGAGGGGCAGGCGGAAUGCCUGGUGUAGCGGUGAAAUGCGUAGAUAUCGGGAGGAACACCGGCGGCGAAGGCGGCAUGCUGGACUGAAACUGACGUUGAGGCUCGAAAGCGUGGGGAGCAAACAGGAUUAGAUACCCGAGUAGUC